UGUGUGUCUAGCGAAAUUGUCGGCCCCUCCCAGGAGCUGUUUCCACCCUCUCCCGCCAGGUCCAGGCAACGAUCACCAAUGGCUAUACUAUCGUGAGAUGAGAAGAAAGACAACAAGAUUUUAUGUGCCUCUUGAUAGAAGUACCACAACACUGCCUAUGGAGUAGCCUUGAAAAAAGAAAAAAGCUGACGUGAAUAUGAGCAAGAGCAGCGAUGUCCAAAAGAACUUUUGGUGAUGAUAGAAAUGUUGUCCAUCUGCGCAGUCCAACACAGUAGCCCCUGUCCACAUGUAGGUAUUGAGAACUUGAAAUAAGACUCGUGUGACUGAAGAACUGAAUUUUUAAAAUUUACUGAAUUUUAG
This 360-nucleotide long non-coding RNA is filed under the name Equus asinus (donkey). Its description in RNAcentral is "lncRNA (ENSEASG00005027734.1)". The record is from RNAcentral. Lineage: Eukaryota; Metazoa; Chordata; Mammalia; Perissodactyla; Equidae.